AUUGAACGCUGGCGGAAUGCUUUACACAUGCAAGUCGAACGGCAGCACGGACUUCGGUCUGGUGGCGAGUGGCGAACGGGUGAGUAAUGUAUCGGAACGUGCCCAGUCGUGGGGGAUAACGUAGUGAAAAUUACGCUAAUACCGCAUACGAUCUAUGGAUGAAAGCGGGGGAUCGCAAGACCUCGCGCGAUUGGAGCGGCCGAUAUCAGAUUAGGUAGUUGGUGGGGUAAAGGCCCAUCAAGCCAACGAUCUGUACCUGGUCUGAGAGGACGACCAGCCACACUGGAACUGAGACACGGUCCAGACUCCUACGGGAGGCAGCAGUGGGGAAUUUUGGACAAUGGGCGAAAGCCUGAUUCAGCCAUUCCGCGUGCAGGAUGAAGGCCCUCGGGUUGUAAACUGCUUUUGUACAGAACGAAAAGGUUUCUACUAAUACUAGGAGCUCAUGACGGUACUGUAAGAAUAAGCACCGGCUAACUACGUGCCAGCCGCCGCAGUAA
This 500-nucleotide ribosomal RNA is filed under the name uncultured bacterium. RNAcentral's name for it is "partial 16S ribosomal RNA". It matches the Rfam family "Bacterial small subunit ribosomal RNA", at positions 30 to 523 of the family's 1533-position model. The record is from RNAcentral.